UAGAGUUUGAUCCUGGCUCAGAUUGAACGCUGGCGGCAGGCCUAACACAUGCAAGUCGAGCGGCAGCACGGGGAGCUUGCUCCCUGGUGGCGAGCGGCGGACGGGUGAGUAAUGCAUAGGAAUCUGCCCGGUAGUGGGGGAUAACCUGGGGAAACCCAGGCUAAUACCGCAUACGUCCUACGGGAGAAAGCAGGGGCUCUUCGGACCUUGCGCUAUCGGAUGAGCCUAUGUCGGAUUAGCUGGUUGGUGAGGUAAUGGCUCACCAAGGCGACGAUCCGUAGCUGGUCUGAGAGGAUGAUCAGCCACAUCGGGACUGAGACACGGCCCGAACUCCUACGGGAGGCAGCAGUGGGGAAUAUUGGACAAUGGGGGCAACCCUGAUCCAGCCAUGCCGCGUGUGUGAAGAAGGCCCUCGGGUUGUAAAGCACUUUCAGUGGGGAAGAACGCCUGACGGUUAAUACCCUCAGGAAG
RNAcentral lists this ribosomal RNA (471 nucleotides) under Halomonas sp. EF1A-B807. RNAcentral describes it as "bacterial SSU rRNA". It matches the Rfam family "Bacterial small subunit ribosomal RNA", at positions 1 to 490 of the family's 1533-position model. Lineage: Bacteria; Pseudomonadati; Pseudomonadota; Gammaproteobacteria; Oceanospirillales; Halomonadaceae. The record is from RNAcentral.